Solenopsis invicta (red fire ant) is the source of this 2620-nucleotide long non-coding RNA. RefSeq lists it as uncharacterized. NCBI's taxonomy places the organism in Eukaryota, Metazoa, Arthropoda, Insecta, Hymenoptera, Formicidae. The record is from RefSeq and is a predicted model, not a curated record. The transcript is spliced from 2 exons.
UCCUUCAGCGCCUUCACACCGUAUCCCAUGGAGUGCGUUCAGAAUAAACGUCCAUUGCAGGUGCGCACAGAUGUUUUAUCUUUGUUGUUUACCAAAUGUUAAACAAGGAUAAAAUGAUGCCUGGGUGCACUUAGACGUUCAUUCUGAACGCAGCCAUGCAGACUCGCUACAAAGCGCGUUUAUUUAAACAAUAUCAUUUUUCUAUAUAUAAUUCUCUCAUGCAAAAGAUGAUGCUGCAUGCACUUAUAGAGUGCGGUGAAAGUCUUGCUACAAAUGAUUUGGAAGCAUAUGAUUAACCAAUCAGAGUAAAGAAUUUUACAAAUUGACCAAUCAAUGCUUCAAAGCAUUAUUUGCAGCAUUAUCGUAACCGUAUCCUUAAACGCAUGCAGAUGAUGCACAUUAACGCGGGGUUGUAAGAUGUUUCAAAAUUAAUGUUUCAAACGAAACCUUUACAUUACGUCGCAAAUUAACGUUUCAGAAAUGUCGCAUUUGCUACGUUGGCGUUUUUGAAUGUGUAAAAGUUAACGUUUCAAAGGAAACAUUGAAGAAACGUAGCAAACUGAAUGUUUCAGAAAUAUUGUACGUGUAACGUUGAGGCAAUGUUUUUAAAGUUAUAAAAAAAAAAUAUAAAAAAAUUUUAUAUAAAACAUUACUGUCAUGUCACAAAAUGUUUCUUUUGUAACGUUCCAAAGGGUCACAUUUAAGGUGAAAAUGUAAUGUUUUUGACACGUUCCAUGGACUAACACAAAUAGAACGUUACUUUUAAACGUAUAUAAAAUUUGUUAUUUAACCUAUACAUACAAAACGUUACAAAUUUGCUAAAUUAGAGCGAAAACGUAACGCUCCCUGAAGGUUUCAUGUUUAGCGGGCUGUAUGGUGCUGGAAUAGCUGAUUAGAUGUAAGUGUCAAAAAACAAAUAUUACUUACGAUUUUUUCUUCCUCAAACUUUAGACGCGUUUUUCUCGAAACAACUUUUUUUUGCGCGCCGCACACGAUUCCGCUUCAACGACUUAACCAAUUUCGAUAUUUGAGGGCUCAAAUUAAAGCUUAUUCAAUUUAGGGGGCCUUCAGGAAGCGUUUAAAAAAAAAUUAUUUAUUAUUGUUUUUUUAACGUUAAGCAAAACAAAAAAAAACGGGAAAGAGGGUCUUCUUUUUCGUAAUGGCCGUCAUUUCUUUUUGAAAGGGUUUUUUAAAAAUCGGAAAAUCAUAAGGCCCCCCAAAUUUCAUCUAUUUUAAGAAUAUUUUUGGUUUUUUUGUUUCAGAUCACUUGGCAGGGCUGUAGAGUGUGCAGCGCACAUUGCUUAUCGCCGCGCACGGCUUUAUUCAGUGAGGGCUAGAGCCGCCAUUUUGAUUUUUUUUUUUUAGAAAAAAUGUUAUUUAUAUUUUCAAAUAUGUACUAAUAAAUGCAAUAAAAAGUUUUUUCAAAAAACAUUUACGUUCGCUCAAAAAAAAAUCAUGAAAUUACGUUAAUUUUCGGGUCUUUUGACUAGAACGUCCCCUUAACGUACUGAUAACUAAAAAGUAUAGACUUCGAGGUGUAUAUGUUUUAUGAGAAAGUUCAUAUCAUUCUUUUUUGCGAAAUUACACUUUUUUGAAAUUUGCCUAUUUUUGGUUUGUAGAAUAUACACACGUGAUGCUUUAAUUUUGUUGUUGAAUUACAAUAAUAAUACUAUAUAAUGCUAAUUAUGUAAUAUAACCUAUUAUAGAAUUUCCGAAAGUGACAGAAAAAAUGCGAAGUUUAGAAAAGACUGCAGAGCGAAUUCAGAAAAUAUUAUCCAAACAAUUAAAGCAACUUAGUGUGUCACAUGUCCAUGAGCAAAACAAAACUGACGAAUAUACUAAGACUGUUACGAAAGUUUGUAGUGUAGCACCGCGUAAAUAUGUAAUAUUCAGGUAUAGGAAGUAAUAAGUUGCAGUAAGUAACGCUGUUAUUCGUUACUUUUGUAUAAUUUGGUUAUGUUACAAUCUUCAAUAAUAGUAAUAAUAACAUGUCACACAGACAAAUUUUAAACGUAAGCAGUAAGCAAAUUAGCCAAUGACAGUCGGGAAUAUAUAGCAGUAGCAAAUCCAACGCGUUGAUUUUCUUACUACAUACGUUUUACUGUUUGAACUUUUCUGUUGGAUCCUUUAAAAUAGUCACUUUUGACAAACAGCUCAUUAUCAUUAUAAAUUACUCAUUAAAAAAUACUUGUAACUUUAUUCGUUAUGUAACGAGUCAAAAUAACGCGUUAUUUUUGCAUUUCUUUUGUUUUUACAUGAGUGAACUAACCUUUUUCAAUGAAUAAUGCAUGACAAUAAAUUGCUUUUGUUAAAAGUGAUUGUCUCUAAACAUCUUAGCGUUAUUAUUACCAUUAUGAAAAUUUAUAACGUCAUUACUAAAUUGUUAUAAAAAAAUAAAAGUAAUGAUAAAGUAACGACUCCCUAUCCCUCGUAAUAUUUCUAAAAUAUUUAAUACUUUAAAAGUCAUCAAUUUAAUAAAAUCACUUUAAUAAAGUAUUUACAGAAUAGCAAUCCACUUGAUGAUAACAAUACAUCAACAGAAUGCCCUGCGAUGAUAACUGGUACAAAGAGUUUAAGCGUAUUAGAGGGCAAUAGUGAGAACAAAAAAGUUGAAGAAAAA